This is a long non-coding RNA of Bufo bufo (common toad), 152 nucleotides long. RefSeq lists it as uncharacterized. The record is from RefSeq and is a predicted model, not a curated record. Lineage: Eukaryota; Metazoa; Chordata; Amphibia; Anura; Bufonidae. The transcript is spliced from 3 exons.
AAUGGGGAGAUCUCUGGAUCCUUAUGAGGUACAGGGCUGGUUCUAGCUUUGUUAGACACAGAUUGGCAUGUACUAUGCGAUUUUCGUUUUUUACAUUAGUCAUGGGAUAACCCCUUUAAGAGCUCCCCCUGUAUAUCACAACCAAUCAGAUU